This 253-nucleotide ribosomal RNA is filed under the name uncultured bacterium. Its description in RNAcentral is "partial 16S ribosomal RNA". It matches the Rfam family "Bacterial small subunit ribosomal RNA", at positions 524 to 776 of the family's 1533-position model. The record is from RNAcentral.
UACGCAGGGGGCAAGCGUUGUCCGGAAUUACUGGGCGUAAAGCGCGCGCAGGCGGCUAUCCAAGUCAGUGGUGAAAGCCCGGAGCUCAACUCCGGAACUGCCAUUGAAACUGGAGAGCUCGAGUCCGGAAGAGGUGAGUGGAACUGCGAGUGUGGAGGUGAAAUUCGUAGACAUUCGCAAGAACACCAGUGGCGAAGGCGGCUCACUGGUCCGGUACUGACGCUGAGGUGCGAAAGCGUGGGGAGCAAACAGG